AACCUAGCACACCUGCGGUGUGUACCUGCGGAGGGAUCAUUAACGAAUCUGAAGCCAAGGCUGAUGCUGGCCCCUCGGGGCACGUGCACGCCUUGUCCAAUUCGCCUUUUAAACCCUCCCUUGUGCACUCAAUGUAGGUCGCCGAUCCGGCGAGGCCGAAAGGCCUCUCUCCACCUGGCGCCUACGAUUUUUUCUCCGUACACACACCCCGAUCGCAUGUAUUACGUGUGCAGCUUUCUA
RNAcentral lists this unclassified non-coding RNA (240 nucleotides) under soil metagenome. RNAcentral describes it as "partial contains 5.8S ribosomal RNA, internal transcribed spacer 2, and large subunit ribosomal RNA". The record is from RNAcentral.